UUCUAUGGUGAUAUUUGGAGUCUUCAUUGUCUGGCUUGUGAUGGAUUUGAUUUGGAUUGUAACCUGAGUAGCAAAUUGUUUUCUAUUGGUGAUCAUCCAGGUAGGGUCCAUCGGUGGUGGUCUGUCUUGGGGAUGUACUUCUAUUGUCUUAGCAUUGAGAGAAAGGCAAUAAGAAAUAACGUAAAUCCCUUGGAGCAGGCUUGUCUACACCCAAAUUCUGCAAGUUAAAAGAACUUUACUGCUAUCACAGGAGAAAAAUAGAAAAAGAAUAACAAAUAAAGACUUUAACAUCAGUAUUUGAUGAGCAUGCCCGUCGUGGCAAAACUAGUGCUGGAAAUAAUCAAGAGAUGGAUUUCGAAAGUUUUCUUGACUUUGUUCUGGCCCUUAGGAACAAAGACACCCCAGAAGGAUUUACAUAUUUGUUUUUUCUGCUGUCUCGAUCAUAAUGGUAGAGGAUUCCUCACAAUGGCAGAUAUUCAUUCUUUUUUCAGGGUUGUACAUCAGAAAUGGAUCGAAGGGGGCAACUAUGAAUUGUGUAUUGAGGUUGUUCAGAAUGGAAUUUAGGAUAUGGUAAAGCCAGUUGAUCAGUUGAAAAUUACACUAGCUUGACCUCCUAACUUGUAAACAGUAAGACUUAGGUUAGAAU
Hibiscus syriacus is the source of this 646-nucleotide long non-coding RNA. RefSeq lists it as uncharacterized. The record is from RefSeq and is a predicted model, not a curated record. NCBI's taxonomy places the organism in Eukaryota, Viridiplantae, Streptophyta, Magnoliopsida, Malvales, Malvaceae. The transcript has 4 exons.